This 253-nucleotide ribosomal RNA is filed under the name uncultured bacterium. Its description in RNAcentral is "partial 16S ribosomal RNA". It matches the Rfam family "Bacterial small subunit ribosomal RNA", at positions 524 to 776 of the family's 1533-position model. The record is from RNAcentral.
UACAGAGGUCCCGAGCGUUGUUCGGAUUCACUGGGCGUAAAGGGUGCGUAGGCGGUCGGGUAAGUCUGAUGUGAAAUCUCACAGCUUAACUGUGAAACUGCAUUGGAUACUAUUCGGCUUGAGAGUUGGAGGGGGGACUGGAAUUCUCGGUGUAGCAGUGAAAUGCGUAGAUAUCGAGAGGAACACCAGUGGCGAAGGCGGCUCACUGGCCCGAUACUGACGCUGAGGCACGAAAGCGUGGGGAGCAAACAGG